ACUCUUCAGCACAUCAUCAACAUCAUGGCUUGACACACUGUGUUAGAUUUUAGAUUUGUAUCAGCUAACAGGUAGCUAACAGCUUUGAACAUUUCUCCUCAUCGUCUGUUAUAACACCCGACGGUGGAAACAUGACCUGCUGGAAUAUCCUCCAGUCUAAUGUCUCAGUGACUGUCGCCCUCCUGAUCACCUCUCAUAUCAGCCACUGCACCACUUGCUUUAGAGAGAUGUUUUUGUAGCAUCUAACUUCUGAACCUUUCCCUCUAUUUCUGUCAGUAGGGGCUGCUCUGACCACAUGUCACUGAUAGAUGCCCUUAACAUCUGUUCUGGGUAUGACCACUGACUGCCACCUUUGCUCUUUCUCUGCUAAUUUCUCACAAAACUGAAGUCAUUUUUGUCAGUGUCAAACAUGACUUCAGUCUUCAUAUUGGUCUUCCCUGUCCACAUUUCAGACAUUUAACUUUCAAAUUACUAAAUAAGAACUUACACACACUGACCUGAUGUGUUGAUAGAGCAAAUAAGAAAAAAAAAAAACUAAUAAACAAACAGAGUUGUAUAUUGUUUGGUUCUUAACUGUCAGGCCAGUAACAAGUAAAAACUUCACUGUCGUAAACAUUAAUCCAUUAUUCACCUGAACAUCAACAGCAACAUGCAGAGGGACACGCCCAGAGACUGGCUGGUUAAGCUAAUGGGCUAACAUGUUCCUCCAUACAGUCAGGUAAUUCGAACCACUAAUUCAGCUCAGCUCACAGUGUUAACUACCAGAGAGUCAAUCAGUUCAACAUCGGAUAGCUCAUCAGUGAGGCACUUUCAUCGGUCACCGUUUACCGGUAGCUUACCAGCUAAGCUAACUGUGUGUAUCCCAGCCUCCUCUAUUGAGUAAUGCAGUGCCAAACCCCCUUUAACAAUCCGCCGGUUAACCGGUGCUGUGUUUACCAGACAUUACACGGCUAAGCUGAGAAAUGAAACGGAUAGUUUUUAUUUUUUAUUUUCUUGUGGGGAAUUCGGCAUGGGCUGUUCAGUGGAGUGCAGCUAGGUGAUGGGGGAUCCUCGCCCUGAUGCAGGGCCACAGAAUAGAUUCAGCAUGGCCCUCACUGAAGUCAGUCUAAGAGUGGGAAUGACACUCUGCCUCACCUGCCUACGUGGGCCCCAGACCGGCCCCAGACCAGCCACCAUAUACCUACAACCUCCUGAUGGUGUGGACCCCAUCAACCAGGACCACCCUACAGGCAGAUCUGCAGGUCGUCUUCAUCCUGGGUGGGGCCGGACAUCCUGUGUAGGUGGCUGUGCAGUGUCCUCAGGCUUUCAGUCAGACCACCCGUCACUCCUCUCCAGCUCACCCCUCUCAUCCAUAUGUGGUUACUUCUGGUUUCAAAAAAACAAGAUAGCGAUGGCCAAAAUGUUGAACUUGAGGCUCCAAAAUGCUAGUCCUCAAACAAAUGGGUGACUGUAUAUAUGAAUUAUAGUGCAUUGAUUUUUUACAGGAAUAAGUAGAACCAGUGAAUAAGAACAGCCUGAAUGGUUAACAGUGGAACACUGUUUUAUAUGUGAUUCUACAUUUACCAGGCCAGUCAGCUGGGUACACCACUCUCUUUAAAUCUGCUUAACACCAGAAGAUAUUCACACAGGUAUAGAACAAAAGGAACGACCAGUUACCAUCAAAGCUGAUCUUGGAAAUAUUGUUUCCAACUACACACAAAUCUCAUAUUAGUUCUAAAGGUAGGAACAUUUUAUCCAAACCAUCUCACAGGCUGUCGUGACAACAUUCAUCCAGUAGAUGUCACUUUGUGACUGAAAUAAGAGGGCGCUGCCUUACAUCACCUUCCAUUAGGAAUACAGCAGCUUGUUACAUAUUAUUACAGAGCAGUAUGAACACCACACUGUUAACACACUAAACAUACUGUUAACUACUACAUCUUAAGUUGUUUCUCCUCCUGGUGUUGAUGUGACAACUGUGACUUCUGCAGUACUCUGUACUGUACACUGUUUUCAUCCUGUUGUAAAAAGCUGCAAACUUCUGACAUCAGAGACAAGUCAUGAGAGCACUCUUUCUAAAUGACAAACACAUCAAUCUCUGUCAGUGACUGAAGUUAUUUAUGCAUGGCAUGUGGGAAAAGUCAAACACAGGAUGGAGACUUGCUGCAUCUGUUGACCUAUGAAUGAUUGUGGUGGGGAUGUCAGACUGCAAAGAUACACAAGCUUAGAGAUACCAACCACAUACAUCUAUGUAAUAAAACCAUACCUGGACAUAAAGCAUACUGCAUGUGUAGCUUAUAUGAAACUAUGAAGAUUUUUCUUCCGUGUAAAAAUUCUGUGGAAUGUGUUGUGAAUACAUGUGUUUGAUGGGCUGAUUCUCAAAGCUGCAUAUUUGAUGCUCUACAUGUAAGAACUGAUGAUAUAGCUUGUCUGAUAAAAAGCUUAUUACUAAUAUGAAUCCACAUGAACUCAA
Lates calcarifer (barramundi perch) is the source of this 2449-nucleotide long non-coding RNA. RefSeq lists it as uncharacterized. The transcript has 4 exons. NCBI's taxonomy places the organism in Eukaryota, Metazoa, Chordata, Actinopteri, Centropomidae. The record is from RefSeq and is a predicted model, not a curated record.